CCCAGGCUCAAACUUCAGCAUUCCGAGUAGCUGGGACUACAAGUGUGCACCACCACUCCCAGCUAACUUUUUUCUUCUUUUGGAUAGAGACAGGUUCUCACUGUGUUGUCCAGACCGGUCUCUAGCUCCUGGCCUUAAGCAAUCCUCCUGCAUUAGCUUCUCAAAUUGCUGGAAUUUCAGGCAUGAGCCAUCAUGCCUGGCCUGGGCUAGUCCUGUAUUCUCUAGAGUUCUCUUUACUUUGUGCUAGCCAAUCUCUCAUUAUGCUGUUCACCUGUUAUAAUGAAUAAUUCUCCGUAUUAAAUUUUACCACUUUAAACUUUUGAGUGGUUUAUGCUUCCUGAUUGGACUCUGACUAAUAUGUUAGGAAGGGUCCCAGGAGAUAAACCCACACAGAUGGGAUUUGGGCAUAGGUUUGGUUUCCCAGGGGGCAGUGCUGAGCUCUUUGCCAGUGGGAAAUGGGAUGCUGGUGAUUUCCAGGAAGUGACCUCACAGUGACUCAAGCUACCACUUACUGUUGAUUGUGACGAAAUGCCAGCUGAGGCACAUGCCUUGGGAGCUAAGUGGUUGCUGCCCUUGACCACUAUGAAGACUGGUGUGGGAAGGGUCGCUUUGGAUGCACUUGAGCAGGGGUCCCCAACCCCUGAGCCAUGGAGCCGUAGGGAGCCACACAGCAGGAGGUGGGACCAUCCAGUUUCAGGAAAACAAGCUUAACACGCCCACUGACUCUACAUUAUGAUUCUUCAGGCCCAGCAUCUGCCUCACUGUGGACCCCCCAAGCCAAGCUCCCAACCUUUCAGCAGCUUCUGCACACCCAGCUCCCGCCUGCCAGUGGCCUCUUCAGGCCCAUGGGGCUCAUUCCUCACAACAGCCUUUCCAGUCCCAGUUUUUCCCUUCCGGCGGCCUCUCCGGGCUGAGAACCUCCUCAAGUCGGCCUCUCCAGACUCACUUGCACCCUCCAGGCGUCCUCUCCGGGCCAAGCUCCUCUUCCUGGCUGCGUCUCCAGGCCCGACUCCUGCCUCUCAACAACCUCUUUGGACUCAGUGCCUACCCAUCUCCUGGCGUCCUUGGUCGGCCCACAGCUUCCUCAAGCCAAGCUCCCCAGGCCCAGGUCAGGCCUCACGGUGCCCCCUCCACGAUGAGCUCCUGCCCUCCAAUGGCACCUGCAGGACCCAAAUGGUCUCCGGUCGGUGGACUCCUCCACGCCAAGCUUGGGCCUCCCGGUGACCUCUGCAGGCCCAAGUUGUCCUGAAGUCGGCAUCUCCCAGCCAUGCCUCCCAGCAAGUAAGCAAGCUCUUUUGGCUCAACUCCUGCCCAGCUCCCAACCGCCUUUGUAGGUCCCGAACUUUCUCCAGCCAAGUUCUUUGGGCCUCAUUCCUGCCGCCCGGUGGCCUGUACGGGCCCAGCAAUGGUUGGAGAACGG
Gorilla gorilla gorilla (western lowland gorilla) is the source of this 1420-nucleotide RNA transcript. RefSeq lists it as uncharacterized. The transcript has 3 exons. The record is from RefSeq and is a predicted model, not a curated record. NCBI's taxonomy places the organism in Eukaryota, Metazoa, Chordata, Mammalia, Primates, Hominidae.